UGCGCAGGCGGAUUGUUAAGCAAGACGUAAAAUCCCCGGGCUUAACCUGGGAAUGGCGUUUUGAACUGGCAGUCUAGAGUGCGUCAGAGGGGGGUGGAAUUCCACGUGUAGCAGUGAAAUGCGUAGAGAUGUGGAGGAACACCGAUGGCGAAGGCAGCCCCCUGGGAUGACACUGACGCUCAUGUACGAAAGCGUGGGUAGCAAACA
This 207-nucleotide ribosomal RNA is filed under the name uncultured Thiobacillus sp. Its description in RNAcentral is "partial 16S ribosomal RNA". It matches the Rfam family "Bacterial small subunit ribosomal RNA", at positions 568 to 774 of the family's 1533-position model. The record is from RNAcentral. Lineage: Bacteria; Pseudomonadati; Pseudomonadota; Betaproteobacteria; Nitrosomonadales; Thiobacillaceae.